Molecule: ribosomal RNA, 1503 nt
Filed under: metagenome
Description: bacterial LSU rRNA
Rfam family: Bacterial large subunit ribosomal RNA
Source: RNAcentral
UAGAUCAGAAGCGAGAAUGUUGACAUGAGUAGCGACAAACAGGGUGAGAAACCCUGUCGCCGAAAGUCCAAGGGUUCCUGCUUAAAGCUAAUCUGAGCAGGGUAAGCCGGCCCCUAAGGCGAGGCCGAAAGGCGUAGUCGAUGGGAACCAGGUUAAUAUUCCUGGGCCAGUGGAUGUGACGGAUCGCAGAUGUAGUUUGCCCUUAUCGGAUUGGGUGGGCUGCUGAGCGGUUCCAGGAAAUAGCCCCACAUCAGACCGUACCCUAAACCGACACAGGUGGACUGGUAGAGUAUACCAAGGCGCUUGAGAGAACCACGUUAAAGGAACUCGGCAAAAUGCCUCCGUAAGUUCGCGAGAAGGAGGCCCCAUAUGUACGCAAGUAUGUGUGGGGGGCACAAACUAGGGGGUGGCGACUGUUUACUUAAAACACAGGGCUGUGCGAAGCCGUAAGGCGACGUAUACAGUCUGACGCCUGCCCGGUGCUGGAAGAUUAAGAGGAGGGGUGCAAGCUCUGAAUUGAAGUCCCAGUAAACGGCGGCCGUAACAAUAACGGUCCUAAGGUAGCGAAAUUCCUUGUCGGGUAAGUUCCGACCUGCACGAAUGGCGUAACGAUCUCCCCGCUGUCUCUAACGUGGACUCAGCGAAAUUGAACUGUGUGUCAAGAUGCACACUACCCGCGGUUAGACGGAAAGACCCCAUGAACCUUUACUCCAGCUUUGCACUGGUAUCAGGAUUGUGAUGUGCAGGAUAGGUGGUAGGCAUUGAAGCGGGGACGCCAGUCUUCGUGGAGCCUCCCUUGAGAUACCACCCUUCGCCAUCUUGAUAUCUAACCGCGGCCCGUUAUCCGGGUCCGGGACCCUGCAUGGUGGGGAGUUUGACUGGGGCGGUCGCCUCCCAAACAGUAACGGAGGCGCGCGAUGGUUGGCUCAGACCGGUCGGAAAUCGGUCGUUGAGUGCAAUGGCAGAAGCCAGCCUGACUGCAAGACUGACAAGUCGAGCAGAGACGAAAGUCGGUCAUAGUGAUCCGGUGGUCCCAAGUGGGAGGGCCAUCGCUCAACGGAUAAAAGGUACUCUGGGGAUAACAGGCUGAUGAUGCCCAAGAGUCCAUAUCGACGGCAUCGUUUGGCACCUCGAUGUCGGCUCAUCUCAUCCUGGGGCUGGAGCAGGUCCCAAGGGUAUGGCUGUUCGCCAUUUAAAGAGGUACGUGAGCUGGGUUUAGAACGUCGUGAGACAGUUCGGUCCCUAUCUGCCGUGGGUGCAGGAGACUUGAGAAGAGUUGACCCUAGUACGAGAGGACCGGGUUGAACGAACCACUGGUGGACCAGUUAUCGUGCCAACGGUAGUGCUGGGUAGCUAUGUUCGGACAGGAUAACCGCUGAAGGCAUCUAAGCGGGAAGCCCCCUUCAAAACAAGGUCUCCCUUGAGGGCCGUGGAAGACGACCACGUCGAUAGGCCAGAGGUGUAAGUGCAGCAAUGCAUUCAGCUGACUGGUACUAAUUGCCC